AGAGUUUGAUCCUGGCUCAGGAUGAACGCUGGCGGUAUGCCUAACACAUGCAAGUCGAACGGUGUCUUCGGACACAGUGGCGGACGGGUGAGUAACGCGUGAGAAUCUGCCUCUAGGUUGGGGACAACAGCUGGAAACGACUGCUAAUACCCGAUGUGCCGUAAGGUAAAAGAUUUAUUGCCUGGAGAGGAGCUCGCGUCUGAUUAGCUAGUUGGUGGGGUAAAAGCCUACCAAGGCAGCGAUCAGUAGCUGGUCUGAGAGGAUGAGCAGCCACACUGGGACUGAGACACGGCCCAGACUCCUACGGGAGGCAGCAGUGGGGAAUUUUCCGCAAUGGGCGAAAGCCUGACGGAGCAAUACCGCGUGAGGGAGGAAGGCCUUUGGGUUGUAAACCUCUUUUCUCAGGGAAGAAGAUCUGACGGUACCUGAGGAAUAAGCAUCGGCUAACUCCGUGCCAGCAGCCGCGGUAAUACGGAGGGUGCAAGCGUUAUCCGGAAUCAUUGGGCGUAAAGCGUCCGCAGGUGGUUUUUCAAGUCUGCUGUUAAAGACUGGAGCUCAACUCCGGAAAGGCAGUGGAAACUGAGAAACUAGAGUUCGGUAGGGGUAGCGGGAAUUCCCAGUGUAGCGGUGAAAUGCGUAGAUAUUGGGAAGAACAUCGGUGGCGAAGGCGCGCUACUGGACCGAAACUGACACUCAGGGACGAAAGCUAGGGGAGCGAAAGGGAUUAGAUACCCCUGUAGUCCUAGCUGUAAACGAUGGAAACUAGGUGUGGCUUGUAUCGACCCGAGCCGUGCCGUAGCUAACGCGUUAAGUUUCCCGCCUGGGGAGUACGCACGCAAGUGUGAAACUCAAAGGAAUUGACGGGGGCCCGCACAAGCGGUGGAGUAUGUGGUUUAAUUCGAUCAUACGCGAAGAACCUUACCUGGCCUUGACAUUGAUAGAACACUUUAGAGAUAGAGUGGUGCCCUUCGGGGAGCUUGAAAACAGGUGCUGCACGGCUGUCGUCAGCUCGUGUCGUGAGAUGUUGGGUUAAGUCCCGCAACGAGCGCAACCCUCGUCCUUAGUUGCCAGCAGUUAGGCUGGGCACUCUAAGGAGACUGCCUUCGCAAGGAGGAGGAAGGUGAGGACGACGUCAAGUCAUCAUGGCCCUUACGGCCAGGGCUACACACGUGCUACAAUGGGGCGUACAGAGAGUUGCGAUACCGCGAGGUGGAGCCAAUCUCAUAAAGCGUCUCUCAGUUCGGAUUGGAGUCUGCAACUCGACUCCAUGAAGCUGGAAUCACUAGUAAUCGUAGAUCAGCAAUGCUACGGUGAAUACGUUCCCGGGUCUUGUACUCACCGCCCGUCACACCAU
RNAcentral lists this ribosomal RNA (1354 nucleotides) under metagenome. RNAcentral's name for it is "bacterial SSU rRNA". It matches the Rfam family "Bacterial small subunit ribosomal RNA". The record is from RNAcentral.